CUGCUUGCCUGGCAGGGGUGAUACCGUGACCACCAGGGUGGUUUUCUCAGGGCGAGGCUUAUCUCCUGCACUCCGGAUGUGCUGACCCCUGCAGUCUCUUCAGAUGUUGGGAACUUGAAUGCAUUAAUUUGUGGUAGUGGGGGGCUGCAUUCGUACCUUCUCCCA
Molecule: small nuclear RNA, 165 nt
Organism: Nycticebus coucang (slow loris)
Lineage: Eukaryota; Metazoa; Chordata; Mammalia; Primates; Lorisidae
Product: U1 spliceosomal RNA
Exons: 1
Source: RefSeq, a predicted model, not a curated record